UUACCCACUCCCGGCACGGGGAGGUAGUGACGAAAAAUAACGAUACGGGACUCAUCCGAGGCCCCGUAAUCGGAAUGAGUACACUCUAAACCCUUUAACGAGGAUCAAUUGGAGGGCAAGUCUGGUGCCAGCAGCCGCGGUAAUUCCAGCUCCAAUAGCGUAUAUUAAAGUUGUUGCGGUUAAAAAGCUCGUAGUCGAAUUUGUGUCUCGUGCCGCUGGUUCAUCGUUCGCGGUGUUAACUGGCGAGUCGCGAGACNUCCUGCCGGUGGGCUUAGCUCGCAAGGGCGGCCCAACUCAAUCCUGCCGCGGUGCUCUUCACUGAGUGUCGAGGUGGGCCGGCACGUUUACUUUGAACAAAUUAGAGUGCUUAAAGCAGGCUAAAACUUCGCCUGAAUACUGUGUGCAUGGAAUAAUGGAAUAGGACCUCGGUUCUAUUUUGUUGGUUUUCGGAACUCCGAGGUAAUGAUUAAUAGGAACGGAUGGGGGCAUUCGUAUUGCGACGUUAGAGGUGAAAUUCUUGGAUCGUCGCAAGANGGACAGAAGCGAAAGCAUUUGCCAAAAACGCUUUCAUUGAUCAAGAACGAAAGUUAGAGGUUCGAAGGCGAUCAGAUACCGCCCUAGUUCUAACUAUAAACGAUGUCAGCUAGCGAUCCGUCGACGUUCCUCCGAUGACUCGACGGGCAGCUUCCGGGAAACCNNNGCUUUUGGGUUCCGGGGGAAGUAUGGUUGCAAAGCUGAAACUUAAAGGAAUUGACGGAAGGGCACCACCAGGAGUGGAGCCUGCGGCUUAAUUUGACUCAACACGGGAAACCUCACCAGGCCCGGACACCGGAAGGAUUGACAGAUUGAGAGCUCUUUCUUGAUUCGGUGGGUGGUGGUGCAUGGCCGUUCUUAGUUGGUGGAGCGAUUUGUCUGGUUAAUUCCGAUAACGAACGAGACUCUAGCCUGCUAACUAGGCGUAUUUUGACAUCCUAAAGGCCCGCCGACUUGGGG
This 993-nucleotide ribosomal RNA is filed under the name Sitona lineatus. Its description in RNAcentral is "SSU rRNA". It matches the Rfam family "Eukaryotic small subunit ribosomal RNA", at positions 441 to 1416 of the family's 1831-position model. Lineage: Eukaryota; Metazoa; Arthropoda; Insecta; Coleoptera; Curculionidae. The record is from RNAcentral.